Molecule: transfer RNA, 92 nt
Filed under: Cellvibrio japonicus Ueda107
Lineage: Bacteria; Pseudomonadati; Pseudomonadota; Gammaproteobacteria; Cellvibrionales; Cellvibrionaceae
Description: tRNA-Ser
Rfam family: tRNA
About the family: Transfer RNA (tRNA) molecules are approximately 80 nucleotides in length. Their secondary structure includes four short double-helical elements and three loops (D, anti-codon, and T loops).
Source: RNAcentral
CGGAAGGGUGGCAGAGUGGUUUAAUGCACCGGUCUUGAAAACCGGCGUAGGUGAAAGCCUACCCAGGGUUCAAAUCCCUGCCCUUCCGCCAU